UGGCCGAAUGGUUACGAUGUCCGCUUUGAAAGCGGAUGAACAUGGGUUUGACUCCCAU
RNAcentral lists this transfer RNA (58 nucleotides) under Culex quinquefasciatus (southern house mosquito). It matches the Rfam family "tRNA", at positions 8 to 63 of the family's 71-position model. From Rfam's summary of the family: Transfer RNA (tRNA) molecules are approximately 80 nucleotides in length. Lineage: Eukaryota; Metazoa; Arthropoda; Insecta; Diptera; Culicidae. The record is from Rfam by way of RNAcentral.